RNAcentral lists this ribosomal RNA (495 nucleotides) under uncultured bacterium. RNAcentral's name for it is "partial 16S ribosomal RNA". It matches the Rfam family "Bacterial small subunit ribosomal RNA", at positions 28 to 507 of the family's 1533-position model. The record is from RNAcentral.
GACGAACGCUGGCGGCGUGCCUAAUACAUGCAAGUAGAACGCUGAAGGAGGAGCUUGCUUCUCUGGAUGAGUUGCGAACGGGUGAGUAACGCGUAGGUAACCUGCCUGGUAGCGGGGGAUAACUAUUGGAAACGAUAGCUAAUACCGCAUAAGAGUAGAUGUCGCAUGACAUUUGCUUAAAAGGUGCAAUUGCAUCACUGCCAGAUGGACCUGCGUUGUAUUAGCUAGUUGGUGAGGUAACGGCUCACCAAGGCAACGAUACAUAGCCGACCUGAGAGGGUGAUCGGCCACACUGGGACUGAGACACGGCCCAGACUCCUACGGGAGGCAGCAGUAGGGAAUCUUCGGCAAUGGACGGAAGUCUGACCGAGCAACGCCGCGUGAGUGAAGAAGGUUUUCGGAUCGUAAAGCUCUGUUGUAAGAGAAGAACGAGUGUGAGAGUGGAAAGUUCACACUGUGACGGUAUCUUACCAGAAAGAGACGGCUAACUACGUG